RNAcentral lists this ribosomal RNA (613 nucleotides) under uncultured bacterium. Its description in RNAcentral is "bacterial SSU rRNA". It matches the Rfam family "Bacterial small subunit ribosomal RNA", at positions 51 to 654 of the family's 1533-position model. The record is from RNAcentral.
ACACAUGCAAGUCGAGGGGAAACGAUGGGAGGGCUUGCCCUCCCAGGCGUCGACCGGCGCACGGGUGAGUAACACGUAUCCAACCUGCCCUCUUCCGGGGAACAACCUUGCGAAAGUAAGACUAAUGCCCCAUGUGUCCUCAGACGGCAUCAGACGAGGACGAAAGAUUUAUCGGAAGUGGAUGGGGAUGCGCCUGAUUAGGCAGUUGGCGGGGCAACGGCCCACCAAGCCGACGAUCAGUAGGGGUUCUGAGAGGAAGGUCCCCCACAUUGGAACUGAGACACGGUCCAAACUCCUACGGGAGGCAGCAGUGAGGAAUAUUGGUCAAUGGGCGAGAGCCUGAACCAGCCAAGUAGCGUGCAGGACGACGGCCCUAUGGGUUGUAAACUGCUUUUGCGCGGGGAUAAAGUGCGCCACGUGUGGCUCAUUGCAGGUACCGCGCGAAUAAGGACCGGCUAAUUCCGUGCCAGCAGCCGCGGUAAUACGGAAGGUCCAGGCGCUAUCCGGAUUCAUUGGGUUUAAAGGGAGCGCGGGCCGCCCCUUAAGCGUGUUGUGAAAUGCCGCGGCUCAACCGUGGCACUGCAGCGCGAACUGGGGGGCUUGAGUGCGCGCA